UACGUAGGGUGCGAGCGUUAAUCGGAAUUACUGGGCGUAAAGCGUGCGCAGGCGGCUUUGCAAGACAGAUGUGAAAUCCCCGGGCUCAACCUGGGAACUGCAUUUGUGACUGCAUGGCUGGAGUGCGGCAGAGGGGGAUGGAAUUCCGCGUGUAGCAGUGAAAUGCGUAGAUAUGCGGAGGAACACCGAUGGCGAAGGCAAUCCCCUGGACCUGUACUGACGCUCAUGCACGAAAGCGUGGGGAGCAAACAGG
This 253-nucleotide ribosomal RNA is filed under the name uncultured bacterium. Its description in RNAcentral is "partial 16S ribosomal RNA". It matches the Rfam family "Bacterial small subunit ribosomal RNA", at positions 524 to 776 of the family's 1533-position model. The record is from RNAcentral.